Molecule: long non-coding RNA, 6525 nt
Organism: Columba livia (rock pigeon)
Lineage: Eukaryota; Metazoa; Chordata; Aves; Columbiformes; Columbidae
Exons: 4
Source: RefSeq, a predicted model, not a curated record
AGUUUAACUCCCGAGACACCGCUUUGCAUUUCAGGAUUUUUUUAGGAACUCGAGCUGUGAAACAGAUAGAGAAGCAUUAUUUGAAUGCAAUAAAACAAACCCAGCCGCCUCAGGCGCUAUUAUAAUAUACUUUGAAAUAAUGAUUAGCACUGGUGCAAGAGAAAUGCAAACACAAAGGACUUUGUUUUUACAUUUGCAGGAGUGAAAUCCAAGAUGCAAAUAGGUUGAGUACCUUGCCCAGAGGCAGGAAUGAAACUUGUGACAGUACCAGGGGUACAACACUGAUCUCUCAGACUCCUGGUUAAAACCCACAGGUCUUCAAGUUGAAAUAUGAGAUGUGACUUGAGUUUUUACUUUCCAAGCGUGCUGAGGAUCACUAGCGGCCAAAGGGCUGCUCAGUACACAAGUGAGUUUGCCCUUCUCGCUUCCCCUUCCCUUUCAGACUCUGCAUCCCCAGCAAACCACAAACGGUCGUUUCUCAGCCCAGCAGCACGUUUCAGCCACCUCACACGGCUCUGUAAAAGUGCACAAAAUGUCUGUUUGGGAGUGUUGAUUAAUACGCCGAAAGGUCCUAAUCAGGAGAAUACAGGGGAGAGUCAAUAUAGUAAAAAUCUCCCAAGCCUGUCGUGCUUCAGUGGUGUGAUUGUAUGUAACCCUUCCUCGGUAUUAGAAAAUGCUUCAUGUAAUUUUAUUAGAAAUAAAGAGGGGAGGGAAUACAGCUGGCAUGUGCUUUAUGAGCCAAACUGUUCUUAAAUGCAAAGUGUAUCAAAACAUCCGUGUUUAAUAAAAGGAAGAGUCUACCCAAGCUCAGGAGAACACCUCUGAUGUAGAACAGUUUAAUGGAGCAGGAGGCUGACACGACACCAGUCUAGAGAGCUGGAGGGUUAGGGAGCACAAACUGCUGUCCUAUCCUAUAGCAAAAUACACAGCCCACGGUUUGUUUUAGUAAAAAAUAAAGGUAAAGAAAGGAAGUUAAAAGUGUAAGGGAAGAGUUUUAAAUGUAAAAGCUAAUUAUUUUUAGUCUUCUUUACUUUCAGCAUAGAGAUCUGCGUGGCACCAUCCUGCAUGGCAGCAAGGACAGACCACACCUGUUGUGAAUAAACAUCCUUUUGCAAGAGAAGAGAAAGAAGUUUGAUUCUCAUCAGUUAGGACCAUUUUAAAACAGGCUGAAAUGCAGGUUAUUGUGGUGGAAGCCUCUGAAGGUGUCCAGUCACAACCAGGAUGUGUCCUUCAAAGCAGGGGUUCACUCGCAGCUCUGAUGACCCAGACACACAGCCACCCAGCUCCAAAAUGUGCACGGUACCUUCAUGCUCCACUCCAGGUACAGACAGAUCUUCUGUUCCUUGCCAGAGGAUUUUCCCUGUUUCCGCAUCCCGAAGGUUCAUCCAGUUUCUGAUUGGGAAGCAAUUAAGGAAAACAAGCUAUCUGCAUCCCUAAAUGCUGCGCCUACUAUUCUUUGCUAAGCCCUGAAAUAGGUGAGUAGCUGAGUUUCAGUUGUGUUCUGUGAUUCUCAGGAGGCAAAUGAAAAGACACACUUUUUCCCAGAAAAUAAAUGAACAAACCAACCCUUGAGUAGAAUGAAUGCAACAAGAGUUGUAUAGUCACAGAUUUCGUUUUCAUAUUAGGCUGAAGCUUGUUAACCUCAUUUAUCAUUUUCUGCUGCUUCCAGAGGAUAAAGGCAAUGUCACUGUGCUGCAGAGAAGCAAGACCAUUGCUAACAGAUAAUUCUACACAAACUAUUGCUGUUCUCCAGCAGUUGAAAAAUGCUAGAAAAAGAAGUACUCCCUAUAUAACAUGGGAAAAAGAAUAGCACCCGAUUGAGCUUGUUUUCCUAGCUUACAAAAUAUGAAUAUCAAGGGUUGUUCCACUGCUGUUGACCUGGUAACUGCCACUCAUGGGAAUUCUUCAGCUGCCGAGUGCUAAGCAAAGAGAGCUCCUCUCUCUUUGCCCUCAGCAAGUGAGGCUGUGCUGGCUUUCAAAAAGCCCAGAUCAGUGAAUCAGUCCUUAAAUUUAUAGACAAGUAGGAAACACAUUUUCAAAGAGACAAUUAAUAAUGAUCUUAAGCACACCUUUGACAUAUCUCUACCAUAGCGUAACUCAGACAUCGACACAUCAGAAGGAGCCUGCACGAUGCCGCCUUGAACAGGGAUGCAGCCAUCGCUGAACCAGCAUCCUGGGCCACAGCUCGUCAAGCAGCCAAAUAGAGUAGGAUUUGUGAGAUAAGGCCACACAAACCAUCACCUUUCCAGGUAUCUCCUUUUGCUGGUUUAUGGCAGUGCACUCAGUACUCAGUACUUCUAAAGAUACUGGAAACUAUCUGGGAGAAGGGAAGACCAACUGCUUGAGGAACUGAUUGGGGAGGUAGAGAAACAGAAGAGGGACAAUAUGGACCUUGAUGUAGGUAUAAAUAGGAGCUGUCAGAGAUAUGCAUAUUGAACUCAUCCUCUAACAUACACAGUUUCCAGGCAGACUCACACAAACUUGUCACAUUGAUCACAUUUUUCCAGAGCUCCAGGGAAGAAACAGAUGCUUUAGCAAAUUUUGCAUUACAGGGUAAGAUUUGUUUUAAAAUUAUGUGUGUGGAGGAGGGAACGGAAGAUGGUUGCUUCAGUGCAGAUGUGAGGAGCCUUUUCUUUCCUGAAGACUGGCCAAACUUUCCAUGUCCCACUGAAAGGACAAGAGGGAGGAGAAAGGUGUGACCAUGGAGUCUCUUUACACAGGCAAGGCCUUACAGCUUCCAAAACUUGGCAACAACUUGAACUACGGGAAGAGGGAGCAUAGGGCAGCCUGCUUAUGUCCUUCUAGACUUGUUCUAAAACACAUAAUAGCUACCACUUGCUCUGGGAUUAGGGCAAAAGUGAAAGGGGGAGAAGACGGAAAGCAUCAUGUUUGGAGGGCCCCGUAUGCCACCUCUAUAUCCCAGCAGAAAGCUGGAAAGCGGAGAUGUGUCCCCGACUACCAGAGCAAGGGAAACGGGGGCUGUAGGCAGGCAGGACACAGAAAGAAAGUGAGCAGCAGUGCGGACAGGAGAACCUGCCGCGGGGCCAGACACUUCAUGUGGUGCUGGCUGGAAACUGGGAAAAAAAGUCCCCAGCCAACACAACCCACAGGAUGGAACCUCCCCAACCGUAAUUUAAAAUGUCCAAAAAAAUCCACCAUUUUUAGAUACAUCUUCCGACAGACAAACAUACAAACUAGUCAGGGUGAGGCUAUUUGCAUAGAAAGCAGUGUGCAGUCUAUCGAAUGCCUUGUAUGAGGGGAAAAUAACAAAUGAAACAAUCGGAGCAUUUCACUGACAAAUUCAUUUAUCUUCACAACACCUGGCGAUGCAAACUACUAGCAGUACAGUAAUUCAGUAUGUUGGGCACUUGAUUAUCAGAAAGUUAUACUAGCUUUAAAAAAAUGAUCCCCUUCAGAAGUAUUUACUUGCUAUUUGUUCACUAUCAAUAUCAGUGGGAUUUCUGAGCGAACAGGUCUGGCCAUAGGCUGGGUGGUACCAAACUGAGCUGUGUUUGGGUUCCUCUGAAUGGGAAACACUACCUAGAACAGCAAACCCAGCUCUGCACGAGAGCCGAUCCAGCCUCCCAAGCGGUGCACCGGUGCUCUAACUAAUGCACCCUCUUUCUUUUUCCUUGCCAUGCUGUGCGUUACCUUCCCGUUCCUCUUCCUUUAUUGGCUUUUGGAGUAGUCUGAAAUCACAUUUGCCAUUUUCUAAAGUAUUACAUCAGAAAUGCCCUUCAAAGAGUAUACGUAGCCUCACAGCUUAAUAAUUGUCCUUGCUUGAAAUACAUAGUCACAGGGUGACAGUGACCUACUAUUUCUGGUGAGAGAAAACGCCACUGUAGACUACAGACUUCUGUCGCUUCUCCCCAAUCAGGGUUUAUUUCUCAAUCCAGUCGUGCUGGACAAUGCUGUAUGUGUGAACAUUUGGGAUGUUAGACUUCUAUAAAGCGCCAUCAGACUUUAUUCUGUAUUGAUGUUCCACUGUAAGAGUAAAGCCAUGCAGGACAGCCUGCCCUGUGCUUUGUAUUCUGACUGUCGAAUUAAAGAUGAAGGAUAAAUAAAAAGCUCAGGACUGUGUCCCUGCUGGUGAGAGCACGUAGGUCAGCAAUAGAUGCCUCAAUUCCUAGAAAAUGUCUUGUAUUUAAACAAUCUAGACACUGCUAACCCAUGGAUAUUCCACAUCAAAUGAAGAAAGGUUUAGUGUCAGUGUAGCCAAAGGCUUUCUGGUCUAGCAGACACACGUGCAGAUUGAGAACACGUUUUCCAGCUUCUGCAAGUAGAAAAAUGAAAUCAACCUGCUAUUCAGAGUGUGCACACAGAGUUAAAAUAUGUGGGUCCAGAUAUAUUUUAAGGGGUCAGAAUACUCCAGCCAGUUCAUAAGUUUUGUUUUCCCAGUAACUAAGCAUUAUUAAAAGGGAAGAACAAAUGAUCAAAUCUUACAAGUGCACACACACAAUCCUCUUCUACUGGUAAAAACACUUCACGUUCAGGAGACUCACUCUUUUAAAAAAUAAAUGUUUAAAAAGAAAUAGGCAUCUGAAAAAAUUUCCUAAGUCAAACUUGAGAUCAUUUAUAAAACUUAACUGUAAUGGAAUUUAAAAAAAAAAGGGCAAAACCCAUCACAAGUGAUUUUUUGGCAAGGGAACACCUGACAAAGCAGCAGCUGUACCGCUUACCUAGUUAGCAGCUUAUCACACUAUUUCUGUCAUCUUGGAUAGAAAGGCUGGUACUAGGACAUACCCCAGAGUGAAUAAAAUGGAGAUCUCGAACCAAACCCACACACACUGUUAUCUUCUAAUGUGUUUAAUUGGUUUAAGAUUCUUCCAUCCCAGCAUGAGAGAUAUCGUUACUAAAAAUAAAAAGUGCUCCAUCUUCGGAGCAGCAGUGGAGACCUGCAGGCAGGAUGAAGAGGGCAUUUUGAGUAUUAUUGAAAAGGAGAAAGUAAAUUAAUAUAGGUUUAACACAAUUACUCUUUUUGAAGAGGCUCAUGUCAAGCCACCUGGCAGGGGUAGCGAAGGAGAGUAAGGAGAGAGCCAGGCAGAUACAGCUUUGUGAAGUGAAUAUAUAUGAAAAAAAAAGGAAGAACAAUAGUUUAUUCUUAAUUCAGCUUCUCAUUUUAAAAUCACAAGAACGCUCUUACACCAUUAAGUUUUCAUUCUCCUGGAUUUUGGCCCCCCCCCUUUUUUUUUUUUAGGAAAUAAUGUCUGAUUUAAGACUCAAUAGAUCAAAUACUCUUCAAUCCUGAAGGCAAGGAAGGAUUAGGUAGAAGAGCAGAAGGAAGGGUGUAGUGUUGAUCUAUUUAUAUUCCACCACCUAUUGGGUCAGCAAAGUCUUACAUAAAAGCUUUGUAGUAGCUGGAAUUUGACUUGCUUUAUAUACAUGACAUGAAUUAGCUUCCUCACAGACCUACUUUGCUCAGCCCGAUGAAUGGAAAUGGUUUGUGCAUUUCUAAAUCCAAGUUUUGUUGUCUUGAAUACCUCUGAUGUCAGAACAGAAAUCCUUUCUUUUUAGUAUCUGUCAUAGACAUCACCUCACUCAAACAAAUCAAAAUAUACACACUUAUCUUUAAGUGCUUUAGCAUUGCAAAAGAUUCCUGUGUAUUACCACAGUGGUAAUUAAGAAUAACCUUGAAGGAAGAGAAUGGGUAUAAACAAAACUAACCAUUAAAGUAUUAUGGGAUUAAAGACGUUCUGCCCCACUCUCCCUGACUAUUAUUUGUAUGUUGCAAUGUUUAGCACUUUUGAAUAUCUUAAAGGCUGCAGCAACCAGCAGGUGCCUUUCCUUCCACUAAAUGGUCCAUUUUUCAUUAUAUUCCUUGCCGUUUACACUGUUCUAAACCCUUAGGAACUGGUGCUCUCUUGCUUUUCAUAAUAAAAGCAAGCCUAAUGUUCAUAACCACUCCUGGAAGGGAAGGUUUGCCAGAUCAUCUUUGCCAGGUUAUUAUUUUUUACGUGAAAUUCAGUAUUAAGAACAAUUCACUACAAGCCAGGUGCAAACAGGAUCUCAGCUAUUGCAUGUUAAGAAUUGUCCUAUGGGCCAAACGACAAAGAGAAGGUGGAGAAGGGGAGCUGAAAGCCCUGAACCAUCCAGACUUAAUCUCUGUUGCAGACCAAGAAAGGCUUCUGAUCUGGACAGCCCAACUUUCACUCCUGAUUCCACAUCACCUGUUGUGAAAAGCAGACACAACCAGGCACUCGUGACACGGUCAGCUAAAGCCUUCAUAUCAACUGCAUUUUCCUGGAGAACCAGACACAUGUUUUGGUAAACCUAGCAAUGGAAUGCAAACUUAUUGAUAAGCACGGAUGGACAUCUCGGGAGAGGGGCGACGAGAAACAAGAGACCAAGAAACUGACCAACUGUGCAUAACAUUCCAUUCACGUGAAUACUUCAUAUAAAAGUGCGAGAUCACGAGGAUCUCGUCCCUUUUUCCCUUUUCCCUUCUGCUUAUGGCCGACAUUAGGAGAGGACCUUGCUAGUCGUCCCUGCAAACUGAGGCCUAGUGAGAGACUGAAUCCAGCUCCG